AUUGAACGCUGGCGGCAGGCCUAACACAUGCAAGUCGAACGAGUGGCGGACGGGUGAGUAAUGUAUGGGAAACUGCCCGAUGGAGGGGGAUAACUACUGGAAACGGUGGCUAAUACCGCAUACUAUCAGAUGAGCCCAGAUGGGAUUAGCUAGUUGGUGGGGUAACGGCUCACCAAGGCUACGAUCCCUAGCUGGCCUGAGAGGAUGAUCAGCCACACUGGAACUGAGACACGGGCCAGACUCCUACGGGAGGCAGCAGUGGGGAAUAUUGAACAAUGGGCGCAAGCCUGAUGCAGCCAUGCCGCGUGGAUGAAGAAGGUCUUCGGGUGGUAAAGUACUUUCGGCGGGGAGGCGUUACCCGAAGAAGAAGCACCGGCUAACUCCGUGCCAGCAGCCGCGGUAAUUC
Molecule: ribosomal RNA, 406 nt
Filed under: uncultured bacterium
Lineage: Bacteria
Description: partial 16S ribosomal RNA
Rfam family: Bacterial small subunit ribosomal RNA
Source: RNAcentral